ACCUGGUUAGCUCAAUUGGUUAGAGCGUCAGACUUUUAAUCUGAAGGCUACGGGUUCGACCCCCGUACCGGGUG
RNAcentral lists this transfer RNA (74 nucleotides) under Hapsidospora chrysogenum ATCC 11550. RNAcentral describes it as "Acremonium chrysogenum ATCC 11550 tRNA". It matches the Rfam family "tRNA". From Rfam's summary of the family: Transfer RNA (tRNA) molecules are approximately 80 nucleotides in length. Lineage: Eukaryota; Fungi; Ascomycota; Sordariomycetes; Hypocreales; Bionectriaceae. The record is from Rfam by way of RNAcentral.